RNAcentral lists this ribosomal RNA (2989 nucleotides) under Salmonella enterica. RNAcentral describes it as "23S ribosomal RNA". It matches the Rfam family "Bacterial large subunit ribosomal RNA". Lineage: Bacteria; Pseudomonadati; Pseudomonadota; Gammaproteobacteria; Enterobacterales; Enterobacteriaceae. The record is from RNAcentral. RNAcentral also lists the same sequence under 2 other names.
GGUUAAGCGACUAAGCGUACACGGUGGAUGCCCUGGCAGUCAGAGGCGAUGAAGGGCGUGCUAAUCUGCGAUAAGCGCCGGUAAGGUGAUAUGAACCGUUAUAACCGGCGAUACCCGAAUGGGGAAACCCAGUGUGACUCGUCACACUAUCAUUAACUGAAUCCAUAGGUUAAUGAGGCGAACCGGGGGAACUGAAACAUCUAAGUACCCCGAGGAAAAGAAAUCAACCGAGAUUCCCCCAGUAGCGGCGAGCGAACGGGGAGGAGCCCAGAGCCUGAAUCAGCAUGUGUGUUAGUGGAAGCGUCUGGAAAGGCGCGCGAUACAGGGUGACAGCCCCGUACACAAAAGCGCAUGUGCUGUGAGCUCGAUGAGUAGGGCGGGACACGUGGUAUCCUGUCUGAAUAUGGGGGGACCAUCCUCCAAGGCUAAAUACUCCUGACUGACCGAUAGUGAACCAGUACCGUGAGGGAAAGGCGAAAAGAACCCCGGCGAGGGGAGUGAAAAAGAACCUGAAACCGUGUACGUACAAGCAGUGGGAGCACAGGUUUACCUGUGUGACUGCGUACCUUUUGUAUAAUGGGUCAGCGACUUAUAUUCUGUAGCAAGGUUAACCGAAUAGGGGAGCCGGAGGGAAACCGAGUCUUAAUUGGGCGUUAAGUUGCAGGGUAUAGACCCGAAACCCGGUGAUCUAGCCAUGGGCAGGUUGAAGGUUGGGUAACACUAACUGGAGGACCGAACCGACUAAUGUUGAAAAAUUAGCGGAUGACCUGUGGCUGGGGGUGAAAGGCCAAUCAAACCGGGAGAUAGCUGGUUCUCCCCGAAAGCUAUUUAGGUAGCGCCUCGUGAAUUCAUCUCCGGGGGUAGAGCACUGUUUCGGCUAGGGGGCCAUCCCGGCUUACCAACCCGAUGCAAACUGCGAAUACCGGAGAAUGUUAUCACGGGAGACACACGGCGGGUGCUAACGUCCGUCGUGAAGAGGGAAACAACCCAGACCGCCAGCUAAGGUCCCAAAGUCAUGGUUAAGUGGGAAACGAUGUGGGAAGGCCCAGACAGCCAGGAUGUUGGCUUAGAAGCAGCCAUCAUUUAAAGAAAGCGUAAUAGCUCACUGGUCGAGUCGGCCUGCGCGGAAGAUGUAACGGGGCUAAACCAUGCACCGAAGCUGCGGCAGCGAACGUAUCACUUAAAGCGAUUCAGCGGGUUACGAUUGACGGAGCGAAGCGACGUCAAAGCGUAUACAAAGUCGAGUCGGUUUAAGGAUACGUUCGUUGGGUAGGGGAGCGUUCUGUAAGCCUGUGAAGGUGGCCUGUGAGGGUUGCUGGAGGUAUCAGAAGUGCGAAUGCUGACAUAAGUAACGAUAAAGCGGGUGAAAAGCCCGCUCGCCGGAAGACCAAGGGUUCCUGUCCAACGUUAAUCGGGGCAGGGUGAGUCGACCCCUAAGGCGAGGCCGAAAGGCGUAGUCGAUGGGAAACGGGUUAAUAUUCCCGUACUUGGUGUUACUGCGAAGGGGGGACGGAGAAGGCUAUGUUGGCCGGGCGACGGUUGUCCCGGUUUAAGCGUGUAGGUGUGUGUUCCAGGUAAAUCCGGUUCACUUUAACACUGAGGCGUGAUGACGAGGCACUACGGUGCUGAAGCAACAAAUGCCCUGCUUCCAGGAAAAGCCUCUAAGCAUCAGGUAACAUCAAAUCGUACCCCAAACCGACACAGGUGGUCAGGUAGAGAAUACCAAGGCGCUUGAGAGAACUCGGGUGAAGGAACUAGGCAAAAUGGUGCCGUAACUUCGGGAGAAGGCACGCUGACACGUAGGUGAAGUGAUUUACUCAUGGAGCUGAAGUCAGUCGAAGAUACCAGCUGGCUGCAACUGUUUAUUAAAAACACAGCACUGUGCAAACACGAAAGUGGACGUAUACGGUGUGACGCCUGCCCGGUGCCGGAAGGUUAAUUGAUGGGGUCAGCGCAAGCGAAGCUCCUGAUCGAAGCCCCGGUAAACGGCGGCCGUAACUAUAACGGUCCUAAGGUAGCGAAAUUCCUUGUCGGGUAAGUUCCGACCUGCACGAAUGGCGUAAUGAUGGCCAGGCUGUCUCCACCCGAGACUCAGUGAAAUUGAACUCGCUGUGAAGAUGCAGUGUACCCGCGGCAAGACGGAAAGACCCCGUGAACCUUUACUAUAGCUUGACACUGAACAUUGAGCCUUGAUGUGUAGGAUAGGUGGGAGGCUUUGAAGUGUGGACGCCAGUCUGCAUGGAGCCGACCUUGAAAUACCACCCUUUAAUGUUUGAUGUUCUAACGUGGACCCGUAAUCCGGGUUGCGGACAGUGUCUGGUGGGUAGUUUGACUGGGGCGGUCUCCUCCUAAAGAGUAACGGAGGAGCACGAAGGUUGGCUAAUCCUGGUCGGACAUCAGGAGGUUAGUGCAAUGGCAUAAGCCAGCUUGACUGCGAGCGUGACGGCGCGAGCAGGUGCGAAAGCAGGUCAUAGUGAUCCGGUGGUUCUGAAUGGAAGGGCCAUCGCUCAACGGAUAAAAGGUACUCCGGGGAUAACAGGCUGAUACCGCCCAAGAGUUCAUAUCGACGGCGGUGUUUGGCACCUCGAUGUCGGCUCAUCACAUCCUGGGGCUGAAGUAGGUCCCAAGGGUAUGGCUGUUCGCCAUUUAAAGUGGUACGCGAGCUGGGUUUAGAACGUCGUGAGACAGUUCGGUCCCUAUCUGCCGUGGGCGCUGGAGAACUGAGGGGGGCUGCUCCUAGUACGAGAGGACCGGAGUGGACGCAUCACUGGUGUUCGGGUUGUCAUGCCAAUGGCACUGCCCGGUAGCUAAAUGCGGAAGAGAUAAGUGCUGAAAGCAUCUAAGCACGAAACUUGCCCCGAGAUGAGUUCUCCCUGAGACUUAGAGUCUCCUGAAGGAACGUUGAAGACGACGACGUUGAUAGGCCGGGUGUGUAAGCGCAGCGAUGCGUUGAGCUAACCGGUACUAAUGAACCGUGAGGCUUAACCUU